AUGGAAAACACGUGUUUUACUCAUCCAAAUCCCACGUGACUCACUCUUCAUAUUGUUUCGUUUGUUAUCCAUUUUUUUCCAAAAUAAAUGCAUUUUAAUUGCCAGCUGGAUAAAUCAAGGCCUAACAACUCAAAAUCAAUUCCCUAAAUUACCCUCGUGAAUCACAUUAUAAAUGAGGCAAUCAUUACCAAUCAUUGGCACCGAAUCUUCCUCAUCCAAAGAAUCUUGCAUUCCUUCCCCAACCCUCAGUAUACGCUCACUUCAUCGUCGUGAGAGCUUCAUCAUUCGAAGCUCGACACGGCUGAGCUAAACCACUAUUGGAAGCUUCAACACUCGAUUACCAAUAUUCUCACGCUUGGACUAUUGAACAAAAGUAGGUCCCAGAAGCGAGAGGGGAAGGAGAGAGGCACGAGGAAGUUGAGAAGAGGUGUACCUAUGAUCAUUGUCAUCGUCGUCGCCGUCUCCGUUGUCGUCUACGGCGGGGACUCCUUAUUAAGAACUUUGCAAUAGACUUUGGACAAGCACUUGACCCGAACAUGGAGGGAGCAUUCAAGACUCAAGAAGACUUUGUAAUCCUUUAUGCGCUUUCUAGUUUAAGGCACUAUGCACCCACAAGGCUUUCUCUUGGGCUACCUGACAAUGAGACCUUUUAUUUCUGCACUACCUUGUAGUUUACAUGUACCCCCUCCCCUUUCGAAUGUAUGCUUUUACUUUCUUUAUCUUUUAUUGCUUGAUAGCCAUUCCUUAGGUAUUAGGAACGAUCACUCUUUCAAAAUCAAUAAGCAAACCCUUGAUCCAAUGUUAAGCGGUCUUUUUUCGAAUCAAACUCAAAAACAUAAUAAGAUAUGAUUAGGAUUGUAUGUCACGAGCCUUAAGUGGUAAAGAAGGGAUGAGAAUGGAGUUUUCCUACACCCGUUCUGAAUGCUUCGAACACAAGACGUGUGGCUUGGUAGUUCGAGGUAUUCACCUUUAUCCAUAGUCUUUAGUGCAAUCCGAAAUCAAUAACACCUUUUUCAAAACCUAAAAAUAACUUUAACACAUUCAAACCUUUUUGUUUGAGCCUUAGGGCAUCCACAUCGAAAAUCCUUUUUCAAGGUAUAAAAACAACAAAACAAACAACAUGUUUUACCCACGAACUACGGGACUCUGAUUUCUCACUUCAACAAGUGGGCAUACAUAGGCACGAGGACCCAAUCCUUGGAGAGAACACUAAUUUAAAAUCUACCUCCACUCUGCAAACCUUUGACAAGCAAACAUUUGAUAAACAAAUCUCAUUCAAGCGUAAACAUCCUAGAUGGUUCCCAUGGAGUACCAUGGAUGUGAGAGGUGCUAAUACUUUCCCCUUGCAUAACUGACUUCCGAACCUGUUCGUAGUUGCGAUGACCAUUCUUUGGGAUUUUCUCGAUAUUUUCCCUUUCCUUUGGAAUAAAUAAAAAUCGAUGGUGACUCUGUAUUUUUCGCGUAGCGACAUGAUCUCUCUACACUGUUAAGUGUUUGAUUAAAAAAUCAAUAACAAAGCCGAAGCUCUGAUACCAAUUGAAGGUGGAGAAAAACAAGAAAGGGGAGUUUGAAUUGUUUUCACAAUAAUUAAAAACUUUUGCAACACCACAUACACGAAAGUAAAUGCUAAAAAUACAAGAAAUUUAUCCUGGUUCGCUUGAAAAUCAAAGUUACUCCAGUCCACCCGGCCAAGGUGAUUUCGCCUUCAAUAAGGACUUAAUCCAAUAAUCUCAAUAGAUUACAAAAACGUCUACAGACUUCAACAACUCACUUGAGGAAAAUCAACAACUUUAAAGUACUAUAGGUGUUUGCUUUAGUGCUUCUAGGUAAGCAGUAUGAAACACAGUUAAGAAUAAUGAUCAAUGAUCACACUAUAAGCAAAAACUCUUGUGUGAUUACUGAAUUUUACAAACAAAAGGAUUUAGUAUAUAGUUCAAAUGUAUUGUAGAGUAUACAAGUUUUGAUCAAAGACUUUGAACUCCA
Lathyrus oleraceus (garden pea) is the source of this 1983-nucleotide long non-coding RNA. RefSeq lists it as uncharacterized. The record is from RefSeq and is a predicted model, not a curated record. The transcript has 2 exons. NCBI's taxonomy places the organism in Eukaryota, Viridiplantae, Streptophyta, Magnoliopsida, Fabales, Fabaceae.